CCUACGGGUGGCUGCAGUGGGGAAUAUUGCACAAUGGGCGCAAGCCUGAUGCAGCCAUGCCGCGUGUGUGAAGAAGGCCUUCGGGUUGUAAAGCACUUUCAGCGGGGAGGAAGGCGUUAAGGUUAAUAACCUUGGCGAUUGACGUUACCCGCAGAAGAAGCACCGGCUAACUCCGUGCCAGCAGCCGCGGUAAUACGGAGGGUGCAAGCGUUAAUCGGAAUUACUGGGCGUAAAGCGCACGCAGGCGGUCUGUCAAGUCGGAUGUGAAAUCCCCGGGCUCAACCUGGGAACUGCAUUCGAAACUGGCAGGCUAGAGUCUUGUAGAGGGGGGUAGAAUUCCAGGUGUAGCGGUGAAAUGCGUAGAGAUCUGGAGGAAUACCGGUGGCGAAGGCGGCCCCCUGGACAAAGACUGACGCUCAGGUGCGAAAGCGUGGGGAGCAAGCAGGAUUAGAUACCCCUGUAGUC
Molecule: ribosomal RNA, 465 nt
Filed under: uncultured Klebsiella sp.
Lineage: Bacteria; Pseudomonadati; Pseudomonadota; Gammaproteobacteria; Enterobacterales; Enterobacteriaceae
Description: bacterial SSU rRNA
Rfam family: Bacterial small subunit ribosomal RNA
Source: RNAcentral